Long non-coding RNA from Arachis duranensis, 1110 nucleotides. RefSeq lists it as uncharacterized. Lineage: Eukaryota; Viridiplantae; Streptophyta; Magnoliopsida; Fabales; Fabaceae. The record is from RefSeq and is a predicted model, not a curated record. The transcript is spliced from 4 exons.
UUCCGAGAAUUUCGCUUCUGUUGCAUUCCUUUUUCUUUCGGUUCCAACUGAUUAUGCUGAUUUAACCAAGAACACUGGCUUUUGGGCUUCUGGGGUCAUCAUUUCCUUCUCCCAUCACCACCGUUCGAUUGGAGAUUUGUUCGUGGACAACUUAAAGUGUGUAGCUGUCUCCCAUAUUGUUUGGAGUUCAGGUAUCACCACCCACCUCCUCACAAGGAACUCGGACAGGCGACAUCUCGAUAUCAACAAGUCAGACGCUGCCAUAUAAAGGGAUCUGGACCUCACAUUCAAGCCCAAAUCAACAUUUCAGGGAGUCAUCUUCCCCAAUUUGAACCACACCCCAGUAAAUGCAAUUGACUUCAACCUCAUCCAUUUUCAAGUGCACAUAAGGAGAGAAGGAAUUUUCUUGUGAGCCCUAGCAUGUCGUUGCGAAGAUAUAACUCUCCUGCAAGUGAUGGAACUUGCAGCAGUUCAUCGAGUUCGAAGAGGAUGAAGGGAAAGAUGCUCGACGGAAAAUGCUUGUGUGGGAGGGAUGUUGUGUUGAUAGAGUCUGGCACCAUGACAAACCCUAAUAGAUGGUUCAUCAGAUGUCCUGGGUGGGCGGUAAUAUACACGCUGUGUUCUUGUUCAGGUUAGAAAUCUAUUUUUGACAUUGUAGUUGACACUUCGGUUGGUUUAUUUUUUCCAGACAAGAGAUUGCAAAUACUUUGUGUGGGUGGAUGAAAUUGAAGAAGGAUGGGAGGGCCUAGCAAGAGCUUUAGCAAAAAGAAAUUCCGAUCAGUCUUAUUCAAGGCAUGAGGAUGGCGUGACUGUAACGACUGGUCUGGAAAAUCAGCCAGCAUCGUCGAUGAUGUCCAGGAAAUUGGAAAAAUUUAGGGGUGAAGUUAGGGGGGAACUUAGGGGAAUGAGACUGUUGCUCUCAACCAUUGCGUUGGGGGUUGCCUUCUGUUUAAUUUUUGAGUUGUAUUUGGUUAUGCAAGUGUAAGAUGUGUAUGAGUUGGGAACUUUGGUAUGACAUGCUGCUUAAGUGAUUGUAUAACUUUGAUCUGGUUUUUAUUAAUUCUGAUGCAUUAACAUAGGCACGAAGAUUUCGAUCUCUGGUAGUGUUAU